Molecule: non-coding RNA, 48 nt
Organism: Trichobilharzia regenti
Lineage: Eukaryota; Metazoa; Platyhelminthes; Trematoda; Strigeidida; Schistosomatidae
Source: Rfam
AUCCAGUUGACGAGUCCCAAAUAGGACGAAAUGCGCUUUAUCCUAGAU